CCCUUAGAUGUCCGGGGCUGCACGCGCGCUACACUGGAGAAAUCAGCAUGCCUUCAUACCUGGCCCGAAAGGGUCGGGUAACCCGCUGAAACUUCUCCGUGAUUGGGAUAGGGAAUUGCAAUUAUUUCCCUUGAACGAGGAAUUCCUAGUAAGCACGGGUCAUAAGCUCGUACUGAUUACGUCCCUGCCCUUUGUACACACCGCCCGUCGCUCCUACCGAUUGGGUGCUCCGGUGAAUUGUUUGGACUGCUGUCAGUCUUUUAGGCUGUUGGCGAGAAGCUCUGUGAACCUUAGCACCUAGAGGAAGGAGAANUCGUANCA
This 321-nucleotide ribosomal RNA is filed under the name uncultured eukaryote. RNAcentral's name for it is "partial 18S ribosomal RNA". It matches the Rfam family "Eukaryotic small subunit ribosomal RNA", at positions 1470 to 1796 of the family's 1831-position model. The record is from RNAcentral.